AGUGAACGCUGGCGGUAGGCCUAACACAUGCAAGUCGAACGGCAGCACAGUAAGAGCUUGCUCUUACGGGUGGCGAGUGGCGGACGGGUGAGGAAUACAUCGGAAUCUACUUUUUCGUGGGGGAUAACGUAGGGAAACUUACGCUAAUACCGCAUACGACCUACGGGUGAAAGCAGGGGAUCUUCGGACCUUUCGCGAUUGAAUGAGCCGAUGUCGGAUUAGCUAGUUGGCGGGGUAAAGGCCCACCAAGGCGACGAUCCGUAGCUGGUCUGAGAGGAUGAUCAGCCACACUGGAACUGAGACACGGUCCAGACUCCUACGGGAGGCAGCAGUGGGGAAUAUUGGACAGUGGGCGCAAGCCUGAUCCAGAGAUACCGCGUGGGUGAAGAAGGCCUUCGGGUUGUAAAGCCCUUUUGUUGGGAAAGAAAAGCAGCAGGUUAAUACCCAGAUGUUCUGACGGUACCCAAAGAAUAAGCACCGGCUAACUUCGUG
Molecule: ribosomal RNA, 492 nt
Filed under: uncultured bacterium
Lineage: Bacteria
Description: partial 16S ribosomal RNA
Rfam family: Bacterial small subunit ribosomal RNA
Source: RNAcentral